GAUGAACGCUGGCGGCGUGCCUAAUACAUGCAAGUCGAGCGAACAGACGAGGAGCUUGCUCCUCUGACGUUAGCGGCGGACGGGUGAGUAACACGUGGAUAACCUACCUAUAAGACUGGGAUAACUUCGGGAAACCGGAGCUAAUACCGGAUAAUAUAUUGAACCGCAUGGUUCAAUAGUGAAAGACGGUUUUGCUGUCACUUAUAGAUGGAUCCGCGCCGCAUUAGCUAGUUGGUAAGGUAACGGCUUACCAAGGCAACGAUGCGUAGCCGACCUGAGAGGUGGACCGGCCACACUGGAACGGGGACACGGCCCAGACCCCAACGGGAGGAGGCGUAGGGAAAUCUUCCGAAAUGGGCGAAGGCCGAACGGAGCAACGCGGGUGAGGUGAGGAGGGUCUCCGGUUCUAAAAACCCUUUAUUAGGGAAGAACAAAUGUGUAAGUAACUAUGCACGUCUUGACGGUACCUAAUCAGAAAGCCACGGCUAACUACGUG
Molecule: ribosomal RNA, 496 nt
Filed under: uncultured bacterium
Lineage: Bacteria
Description: partial 16S ribosomal RNA
Rfam family: Bacterial small subunit ribosomal RNA
Source: RNAcentral